CAGGCUUAACACAUGCAAGUCGAGGGGCAUCAGGAAGGAAGCUUGCUUUCUUUGCUGGCGACCGGCGCACGGGUGAGUAACACGUAUCCAACCUGCCCUUUACUCGGGGAUAGCCUUUCGAAAGAAAGAUUAAUACCCGAUAGCAUAAUGAUUCCGCAUGGUUUCAUUAUUAAAGGAUUCCGGUAAAGGAUGGGGAUGCGUUCCAUUAGGUUGUUGGUGGGGUAACGGCCCACCAAGCCUUCGAUGGAUAGGGGUUCUGAGAGGAAGGUCCCCCACAUUGGAACUGAGACACGGUCCAAACUCCUACGGGAGGCAGCAGUGAGGAAUAUUGGUCAAUGGGCGCUAGCCUGAACCAGCCAAGUAGCGUGAAGGAUGAAGGCUCUAUGGGUCGUAAACUUCUUUUAUAUAAGAAUAAAGUGCAGUAUGUAUACUGUUUUGUAUGUAUUAUAUGAAUAAGGAUCGGCUAACUCCGUGCCAGCAGCCGCGGUAAUACGGAGGAUCCGAGCGUUAUCCGGAUUUAUUGGGUUUAAAGGGAGCGUAGGUGGACUGGUAAGUCAGUUGUGAAAGUUUGCGGCUCAACCGUAAAAUUGCAGUUGAUACUGUCAGUCUUGAGUACAGUAGAGGUGGGCGGAAUUCGUGGUGUAGCGGUGAAAUGCUUAGAUAUCACGAAGAACUCCGAUUGCGAAGGCAGCUCACUGGACUGCAACUGACACUGAUGCUCGAAAGUGUGGGUAUCAAACAGGAUUAGAUACCCUGGUAGUCCACACAGUAAACGAUGAAUACUCGCUGUUUGCGAUAUACAGUAAGCGGCCAAGCGAAAGCAUUAAGUAUUCCACCUGGGGAGUACGCCGGCAACGGUGAAACUCAAAGGAAUUGACGGGGGCCCGCACAAGCGGAGGAACAUGUGGUUUAAUUCGAUGAUACGCGAGGAACCUUACCCGGGCUUAAAUUGCAGUGGAAUGAUGUGGAAACAUGUCAGUGAGCAAUCACCGCUGUGAAGGUGCUGCAUGGUUGUCGUCAGCUCGUGCCGUGAGGUGUCGGCUUAAGUGCCAUAACGAGCGCAACCCUUAUCUUCAGUUACUAACAGGUCAUGCUGAGGACUCUGGAGAGACUGCCGUCGUAAGAUGUGAGGAAGGUGGGGAUGACGUCAAAUCAGCACGGCCCUUACGUCCGGGGCUACACACGUGUUACAAUGGGGGGUACAGAAGGCAGCUAGCGGGUGACCGUAUGCUAAUCCCAAAAGCCUCUCUCAGUUCGGAUCGAAGUCUGCAACCCGACUUCGUGAAGCUGGAUUCGCUAGUAAUCGCGCAUCAGCCACGGCGCGGUGAAUACGUUCCCGGGCCUUGUACACACCGCCCGUCAAGCCAUGGGAGCCGGGGGUACCUGAAGUACGUAACCGCAAGGAUCGUCCUAGGGUAAAACUGGUGACUGGGGCUAAGU
Molecule: ribosomal RNA, 1440 nt
Filed under: uncultured organism
Description: 16S ribosomal RNA
Rfam family: Bacterial small subunit ribosomal RNA
Source: RNAcentral